CAGUAGCCGCGGGAAUACGGAGGAUCCAAGCGUUAUCCGGAAUCAUUGGGUUUAAAGGGUCCGUAGGCGGUCUUGUAAGUCAGUGGUGAAAGCCCAUCGCUCAACGGUGGAACGGCCAUUGAUACUGCAGGACUUGAAUUAUUGGGAAGUAACUAGAAUAUGUAGUGUAGCGGUGAAAUGCUUAGAGAUUACAUGGAAUACCAAUUGCGAAGGCAGGUUACUACCAAUUGAUUGACGCUGAUGGACGAAAGCGUGGGUAGCGAACAGGAUUAGAUACCCCAGUAGUCCCUGUCUCUUAUAU
This 301-nucleotide ribosomal RNA is filed under the name uncultured bacterium. RNAcentral describes it as "partial 16S ribosomal RNA". It matches the Rfam family "Bacterial small subunit ribosomal RNA", at positions 509 to 809 of the family's 1533-position model. The record is from RNAcentral.